CGGUGUACAGUAACUAUGGGGCGAAAUUUCUACAUACUAAAGGUUUUGUAUGCCCUAAACCUGACAUGAUGCUUGCUCCAAUAUGCCAUCUCUACCUGGAUGAUACAAUAAAUGAUGUGCUUGUGAGUAUAAUAAAUUGCCUACUCAUCAGGCCAGUGUAAGGUAGGUUGGAUUGUAGGCUGAGAAGUACCAAACCGAGGAAGACCAGAGUUGGGCAAGGCUAAAGAUUGAGGAAUACCAUGAGGAUGUAGCAUAUAAGAAUGCAUCCGAGCCAUCUGCCCAGGAGGAACAAAACCAUUAGUCCUAAUAGUGAUGGAACAAUAGGUACAACAUUAGCAUUAUUUCCCUCAAGAAAUAUAACCAAAGUGCGCUUGGGAACUAUUCAUAAGGAAUAAAAUAGAACAAUCAACACAACCAAUAUGAUAAUCUAAGCAUAAAAGGACCAUAUAUAUGAGUUGCAUUCCUCUAUGUAACACUACAAACUCAAAAUGCAGCAAACAAUCUGAUGAUCAUAAUAGCAUAUGUGCAAUUUAAGGCUUUCACUCGUUUGAACAAAUGAGACAUCAAACAAGUAUACAGAAUUUAUUUCUCUAUCCAGCAACUCAGCCCAGCCUGCACACAUAUGGGAUAAAUCAAAAGAAUCACAUAUUCAUGUUUCUCAAUACAGCAAGGCAGCAACUAGGCAAGUAAUCCCAAAUUCCAAAGUACCAACAAAUAUUUAUGAGCAGAAAACAGAACGCUACAUCAGUGCAACCAUUACCAAUAUUGGAUUGCAUAUCAAAACGAAUGAUAGCCACAUGGGCAACAAAAAAAUUCAGUUUCAUAAGUUUGUGGACAUUGUCAAGAGGACAGUUCAGUUCAUGGUGCCAAGAACAAGAAUGGUGGGAGGGGUCAAAACAUUAAACGUUCAGGAAGAUCAUCAUCCUUCGUUGCCAUGUUAGUCUGCAUUACGCAAGAUGAUUGUUACUCCCUCCGUCCCAAAAUAUACAAUAUUUUUCCUCCGAGCGUAACGAAAUUUUUGACGUUUCCACUUUUGCCCUGGCGACCGAUUCCACUCCUCUCGUCUCGGGACUCCCACUCCUCUCGCGUUCCUCUCUCCGACAGCCCCAAAUCCCUAGCUCACCCACUCCUCCCUAGUGUCGUUGCUGCCGCCUCCCACUCGCCGGCAUCGUUGAGCCUCCCUCUAGCCGGUGUCUCCUCUCCCAUUCCCCUCGCUCACCUACUCCCCUCCAAAGAUGGCGUCGUCCCCUCUGCCCGUCUGGUGUCCUCGCCUAUCUUCCAAAGAUUGCUUUUUUUUACUCCAACGCAUCUGAAGCGGUGAUGGGUACUUGUGCGGAGGCGGCGGAGGCAGCGGCGGCGCUGUAUCUAAAGAGGGCACCAUAGCAGCAAUGGCAGCAUUGGAUCUGAAGCGGUUGACGGCACCGUUGCGGCGGGAGGAGCAAUUAUGGCGAGCACUACCACGACGGUGAGUCCUUGUGUUUGUACUCUGUACUGAUGCUGCUACUUAAGUGAUGCUGCGACAGAGUGGUUCUGCUCCGAUGAUGCUACUGUAUUUCUGCUCUAGUGAUGGUGUUGUAGUAGUAGUUCUGCUCUAGUGAUGUUGCUGCUUUAGAUCUUGUGAAGUUAUGAUGGAGCUCAAGUCUAGUAAAGUUCUUGUGAUGGAGUAAACAUCACUGAAUUUUGCUUGCAGUGUUGUUCACUGAAUUUUCCUUGCAGUUUUGUUCACUGAAUUUUGCAUGUGAACUUUUGGCUGCUCCUUGUGAUGUUUACUAAAUUUUACUCCAUUAACAUAUGCUUGUAGUGAUGUGCAGGUAGUAAAGUUUUACUGAGCUCACUAAAGCUUGUGCUUGUGCUUCAGAUCUGCUUUUUUGCUUGUGAGGAACAAAGGGAACAAAAGGAGUACUGCUCUAGUGAUGCUCUACUGACUUGCUGUACAUUUGUGGGAAUAACUUGAUUUCUUCUUGUACAUUUUCAGUUAAAAGAUGUUUGGUGUAUGCUUGCUUGUUGUACAUGAUGGAGGAUUAUUGGAGUAAUUUGAGUAAGCAUUUUUUCUGUUUGCGUUGUUGCAGUCCAAGACGAUUGAUCGAUGCAGCUGCUACCUGCUGCUGCUGUAUGCACCAUGUCUGAAGAAGACCCCUCUGUGGACCGAACUCUCUGGAGUACUGUAAGCAUGCACACUCUGUUAUGAAUGGAAUGAAAUUGUUUAUGUGAAGUGUUAUUUUUCUUGCUCCUGUAGUAGUAGUUCUUCAUUUGAAGUGUGAGUUGUACUCCUACUUGUUCAUGUGAUUGUUUUGCUUGUUCAUAUGGAAUGGAAUUUGUUCUUCAUGGAGUACAACAGGAGUGGUAGUCUCAAGUCAAAUUGGUUGUUCAUGUGUUGCUGUUGAUGCAACUGUUGUUCUCCAACUGGAGUAGUUUUAACUUCUGGUAGAGUAGUUAAAACAUGAUGUAGUAAAUUGUAAAACUUCAGUUAGAGUAGUUAAAACAUGUUGUACUACUUGUAGUAGCAGUGGUGGUCAUCUAGUUAAAAAAAUUGUACUUGGAGUAGCAGUGGUGGUCAUCUAGUUAAAACGUGUUGUUUGUUGUACUUGGAGUAUUAGAUGGAGUAUAAUGCUCUAUAGGAUUUCUUUUCUUUUAGGAUUCCUUUUUCUUUUACUCCUCUCCUCUCUCUUCUCUCCUCUCUACUCCUUUCUUCUCUGGACUUGUUGUACUAUUAGGAUUUCUUUUACUUUAGGGUUUCUCUCCUCUGUCUUCUCUCCUCUCCUCUCUCUUCUCUCCACACAAAGUUCCUAAGGAUUACUCAUAGGAAUAUAUAAUUUCAUUCUCUCCUCCCCUCUCCUCUCUCUUGUCUCCUCUUCUCUUCUUCCCUUGUCUCCUCUCCACACAACUUUGAAAAAUUCACAAAGUUCUUGUUUACUCCACACACAAAAUUCAGAAACAAUUUUAAGAAAUCCACAAUGAUGCCUACAAGAAAUCCACAAUGAUGCAUACAAACAUAUGGAUCACAUAACAAGUCUCUCAUCAAGCCUCUCAUCAGAAGGAGUACAAACAUAUGGAUCACAUCACAAGCAUCUCAUCACAAGGAGUACAAACAUAUGGAUCACAUCACAAGCAUCUCAUCAUCCAGCCUCUCAUCACAAGCAUCUCACCAUCCAGCCUCUCAUCACAAGCCUCAGUGUUCAUCUUGUUCUAGAUUCUCUAAGGCAUUGUAGUACACUUCACAUGGGAAAUGGAUCCUAGGAAGUAGAAUUCCAUCUCUUUCAAAUCUUUGUUUGGUGACGUGUGGAAUUUUGUAAGCAUUUCCUCCUGCAUGAUUCAUGACUUCAACCAUACAUGUUUGGAGUGUUAGGAAGAUUCUGUUGAGUUUUCCAACUUCAUAGUCAUCGAAUUCUUCUUCUACACCUUGAGUUAGUUCGGGGAUGGUGGUAGGGGCUCUGCAGUCCGUUAGAGACUCUAGGGAUUUGAAGUACCCAAGGUCAAGAGCGUUCAAGUCAGGAGAAUUUGGGGGUUGUUGCACUAGUUUGAUGUCCAUACCGGUCUCAGCCAUUGCUUCUGCAAACUCAACAUCAUUAGGUAAAAUAUGUGUCCUUGCAUUGUCCUGUUGGAUGAGGACUGUUUGUCCAACAUCUCCAAAGGGCCACACAUCUUUUAUUGCAGGAACAACUUUCUCAAUCAUGUAUCAUCUCAUGACUUCUCUGUUCACCAUGAGUGACUUGAAUUCUAUGACACCUCGUUCUUUAUUUUCACUCCUUCUUUAUGUCACAACUGUUGUGACGAAAGGCCAAACCCCAAUCUUUCCUGAGAAUGUGACAUUCCCGUCAGCGUCGUAUCUGGGCCUUGCAACUGCUGUGAGAAACAUCACCUUUCCAAUCUUGUUUGGAACUGGCCUUACUGGGUCUUCUUCAUCUGGCAUUAGGUAGUAGUUUAUGUUCCUUUUUGUCAUGAGAAACCAUUUCUCAUCAAUAUGCACAAUAUUAUGCAUAGUGUUGAAGCAAAUUCUUUCAUUCUGCAGGGUUGUCUGGUCCAGCAUCGACAUGCAAAAUCGAACCCUUUCUCUCUUAUUCUUCUCUUUCAAAGGCGGCUUCACCCUGUUGGAGUGCCUCCUUAUCAUUAAGCUGGAAUUUCCUGUGGAGUGUGGAGCGGCUGACACCCAAUGCAGCAGCAAGUGAUCAUAUGCUUGACCUUCUGUGUAGUGGAACUGCUGAGAUUUGUGAUAGAAAGCCAUCAACCACUUUUGUGCCGCAUCUUUCUGGUUGACACAUCCACCUGUUGACCAAGAGCAAUCUGUUUCUUUGCUAUCUUCCAAAUUCUUUUAAUGAGUUGGAUGUCUACUUGAAACAAUGCAGCCACGUCCUGCUUAUCGUUCCCUUUCAAAUCUCCACCUCUCUUAAUACUUAGCGCUUGCAUUGCCAUAUAAGCAGCAUAUCUCUUCUCAUUUGUUAGUGAUUUUCUCUUCCUCCGUAUUUGUUGAACACCUACAGUAGCAAUGCAACAAGAAAAUUAGAGAAAUUGUGCACUUGGAGAACAUGGAUGAAUAUAAAUUCAGUAAAAUCCACUUGGCUGAAUUUGAAUGCACUUAAGCGCAUAUAUAUCUUCAGUUAAGUGCAUUCAAAUUCAGUUAAGUCCAUUUAAAUCCACUUGACCAAAUUUGAAUGCACUUAAGCACAUAUAUAUUCAGUUAAGUGGAUUCUAAACUUAUUGCAGACUUGUGGUACAUAUAGUGUAAUUAAGUUCAUUUUAAUUCAUUUAAGUAGUAUGUAAAUACAUAUUCAGUUAAGAAUAUGUAUAUUCAAUUUACCUGCUUCUCCCACUGCUUCUCCCAUAGCUUGAUCCUCUUCUUCUCCCACUGCUUCUCCCAUAGCUUGAUCCUCCUCUUCUCCAACAACAUGUUCCUCUUCUCCUCCCACAUCUUCAUCCACAUCUUCUGGUGGAGAAAAGUUUAGGUCAAAGUUCAUGUUCCAAAUUCAGAGUUUGGAGCUGGAGCUGGAGUACAAGAAGCAAACAUAUUAAGAAUUUUGGAAUAAAAGUAAAUUGUUGGAGUACAAGUAAUUGGAGUAUGAACAUUUAAAUGGAGUAAACUUUUGCUUGAUGUCAAUUUAAAUUCAGAAUUGCUACAAAUUGCAGUCAAUUUAAGUGCAUAGGUUUGCAAUCAAUUUACCAUUGGAGUAGGAGUAAAUAUUGGUUUGUCUAGGUUUGUGCUAAGUGGUUGUUUUCUGUAAAUUAACAACAUGAACCAUGUCAAAUUCAGUUAAUUAUUGUACUGCAUUGGUUUCUUUAAUGUUGCGAUUCUUUAAUUCUCUGUUCUUUGAAAUCAUCAGGACUCCUGAUCAAUUAAGAUCAUGCAAUCUGUUUUCUCUGUUUGCUCUACUAUAUUCUCUGUGUAAAGUGAAAUACUAAGUCAUUCUCUGAAUAACGCCACUUGCUGCCACUAUAUUCUCUAUAAUUCUGAUUAAAUCAUCAGCUUGUGAGGUGAGGCACUAAAACUCUUGUGACAACAAGUCACCCAUACUUGAGGUGAGGCACCCAUCAGCUUGUGAUAACAACAAGUCACGCAUCAUAAUUGUGUGUACAUAAGUGUUUGGUGAGAGUGGCUCUACAAAUCAUAACAAGAAGUAUUCCAAGUAGUUCAGCUCAGAUGCAUCAUAAUUGUUCAUAUCAUAAUUGUACUACUGAAAAUUGUUUGGAUCAUUAUUGUUCUGCUGAUAUCUACUGAUUUUUUCCAUUAACACUGAUUUUUCAAUUAACAAUAUUCAGUUAACACUGAUUGUUGUAGCUGCUGUAAUCAGUUUAUUCCAGUUGAUAUGUACCUUGUCCUUGUAAUCACUUGUUAAAACUUGUUGUUAUGUUCAGUUUGAAGUAUAUCUGGCAGCUGUUAUUGAUCUGUACCUUGUCUCUGCAAUCAAUUGUUAAAUCUUGCUUCUGUUGGUCAAUUUGAAGUGAAUCUUACUGCUGUUGUUGAUCUAUACCUUGUCUCACAGUAUUGCAUUUCAAAUUUCUGUUUCCUGGAUUAAAAUUUCAAUUUCCUGCAAACAAUUUAAUCAGUAUUGCAAUUCAAAUUUCAGUUUCACUUCAAAUUUCCUGGAGUAUUGUACUGAUCUCUAUCUUGUUUGUCGGCUUCUCUGUUGAUCUGGAGCCUCGAGAUUCUCUACUUCUCGUUUGAUCUGGAGCUUCUCUGCUUCUCUACUUCCUGCAAUCUUCUCUGAUGCUUCUCUAAUGAUCUUCUUUGUUGAUUUUGUUGCAGCCUGGAUCUUCUGGCCAAGGAGGAGCACAGCGAGUAGCAGCCUGGGCACUGACUAGGAGGCGUUGGGGCCUGGGCGAGCCUGGGAGGAGGCGUUGGGGCCUAGGCGAGGAGGCGCUAGGCGCAGCGAGCCUGGGAGAGGAGCCGAUGGGCGUAGCGAGCUGGAGGCGCUGGGUCGAGGAACUGCUGGUGCUGGGCGAUGGCGACGUGCAGGAGCUGCUGGUGCUGGGCGACGGUGACGUGCAGGAGCUGCUAGGAGAUGCGCCUGGAGCUCGUGGGCGUUGGGCGCUGGGUGCGGCGAGGCGGCAAGCGCUACGCGUGGGGAAGAACCGAGGGCAUGGUGCCAUGGUCUCGUGGGUGCCUAGUGCCAUGGACGCGUGGGUGAUUUUGAAUUUGAAUUUCUGAGAAGGAUUGAGGAAGACGAUCGCGGGGAAGACGAUCGCAGGGGUAGAAACGUCCUUCUGACAGAAAUCGGUGCUGUCGGAAUUUUGAAAAUGCUCCUACAUUUCAGGACGGAGUGAUUGAGUGUUGGGGACACUAUCAUUUGAAGCACAAGAGCAAGGAGUUCAUCAUGAACAACACCAUCUAUUACCUUUUGCAAAGUGGUGUCUCUUAGAUUGGUUAGGUGUCACUUGGGAGCCUCCAAGAUAUUGUGGAGUUGAAUCAAGGAGUUUGUAAGGGCAAGCAGAUCGCCUACUUCAUGAGAAUCUACCCGAGUGAGGCUAGUACUUCGUGGGCGUAAGCCAUGAUGGAAAAGACAAGGUUGAUUCUUCAUGGGUGGAGCCCUCCAUAGACUCGCGCAAAUGUUACCCUCUAUGGGUUGAAGUCGCCAUCAAUGUGGAUUUACGAUAGCACCACCUAUCGGAACCAUGACAAAAAUCAUCGUAUCCUCAUUGUGUUUGAUAUCUCCGAUCUCUCCUUUACAUUCAUAUGCAAAGUCUUUACUUUCCGCUGCUCAACUCUUAGACUUGCAUGUGUAGGGUGUGCUUGACUUGGUAGAAUUGCUAAAGCUUGCCUACCACUAAAAUUGGGAAAAAGAUAAGUUUUUAUUACGUCAAGUAGUCUAAUAACCCCCUCCCCCCUCUAGAUAUACUUUCGAUCCUACACGACCCGCAUAUGCGCCGCUCUGCUGCUAUAUGUAUGGGGCCAGGGGGCUUGUAGGGUUAGCAAACCAGAUCCCCUUCGUCACGAAACGUCUACUCCACCGCUAGGUUUAGAAUACUCCAGCGAGCAAUUAGCCGCAUCUCUCCUCUCCUUUUUCGCCAUCAACGGAAGAUCCAUGGCAAGUGGAUCUAGCUGUGGUGGUCAUGCCAACGCUGGCAGAGGCCGAGGUGGGAACGGGGGCACGACUGACAAGUGACGCCACUAUGACAUCAAGCAAGCAAGCUCGAGCCAUGCCAUCGUGACGCAAUCCAGCUCAAACAAUGAGGACGACAACAGGGGCGCAAGUGGAGGUCGAGGCAGGCUCAGGAGCGCGCCCAGCAAGCAAUGCCACCACGACGCCAAGCAAGCGAGCUCAAGCCGCACCGUCGUGACGCUUUUCAACUCAAGCAAUGACAGCAACAAAGGGUGGCGCCGGUGGAGGUCGAUGUAGGCUCGGGAGCGCGGUUGGCUCUGCCGGUGUGGCGGCCGGGGGUGUAGGGUGGGUUUGAUGUGCGAUGAGCACAUCUUCCCCCACAUCCAGUGGUGCCGCACCAUGGAUGAAGAGCUCCUUGCCGACGAGCGUGUGGUAGCGGCCGACGAAGAAGGGGCUCCCGCCCACCUCGAAGACUCCAAGAACAACAAGAACAAGCACCAGCUCGAAGUGGCACUGUGGAAAUCCGCCAUGAAGUUUUACCUCGGCAUCGUCGAGUGAGUUAUGGUUCAGUUUUUAUUAUUACUAGAUGACCCGUUGCACCAAUGGCGCAAAGGGCGUGAGCAAAUCAGGCUUUCAGACCAUGCAAGAUGGGAUAUUUAUACAACGUUCAUAAAAUCAACCUGUUGCAUCCCUGGAACAAAAAGCGAGAGCGAACUGAGCAUUCAAACCAUGCAAGAGUAGUUUAGAUAUUGAUAAUAGAAUCCUUGAAGCAUAAGGACAUAGAUACUUAGGUAUUUCAUGGUAGCAUGAUAGGCCAAAAAAUUAUUUGGCCAGUUCAUGAUAGCUUAUUUGCAUUGGUUUUAUAUUAGAAAGCAAGCUAUAUAGGUAGUAUCAUACAGAUAGCCCUAGUUUGGUUUCUCAGCUUGUGGUUGAUCUUUGUAGAUCCUGCUUGUAGGCAAAACCAAGACAUGCACUUGUUUCCAUAGGUACAUCGCUGCAUGUUGCAUCUGUAUCGAACAUGACCUUAUUCUCUAACCAACUCUUCAUGGCUAGGUGUUUUCGGUGGGCUGUCGUUGUUGAAAACACAUAUGCUUUCCAUGCACUGAAACUCAUCGUUGAAGCACAAAUCUGUAGAAUGUCCCCUAAAUAUAUAGUUGCACUGUCAAGGUGUUCUACAACCUACUUUACUUGCGAGAAAGUAUGGUUAUCAUUGUCUUCGGGUGUUGAUCAUUCGCUGAGUUGCAAUAAUAUUAAGUGGAAGCCUCAAAUAAUGAAAGAAUACCUUGUUUAACUAAAAGCGUUGCUGAUUGGAGGGGAAACAUUAUGAAGUAUACUUUGUAGUAGUUUGAUAUAAUCUAAUAAAUCAAAUAAAUCUAUAGUCACUUUUGUAGAAGCUUAGAAGUAAUAUAAGAUUACCUGACAUCGGACAAUGAUUGAAAAUUCUUAACUAAUGUACUGUGUUAAAGAGAGAAAAGGCAUGUGCCUACACGAAAGAAUAAAUUAUAGUGGAUAUUUGCUAUAAAUAUUCUAUUACACAAAUGGCAUGCAUAUAGUCACGCCUGAAUAUAGUUUUAACACUAGUGUAGAUGACGAGCACAGCUUGGAUCGCCUGCGGAGAUGAAGCGUUGCCAUUGCAAUCGGCAUCAAGCACCAUAGGGUGUGCAAUCAGCAACAAGCACGCAACAAGUACCAUAGGAAAGUAGUCUGCAAUAUGAAGAGUGAAACUGAGAGUAUGAAAAAAAUACCGACGUUUAGAUGGAUAGGAAUGCAAAAUAAAUGUUGGGUGGACCAUUUUUCUUAUCAAGGACAAUCACAUGGGACUUACUACUGCGCUUUCUUGUUUCCUCCAGCUGCUUUCCCACCACUAUUGUUCCUUAAGUUCCAGACACCCAUGUUUAGCGAAAGAGGAUCAUUGUACCUGUUUACUUCAUAGCAUAAAUAAACAAGCGAUGGGAAGAACAACCCGUCUUUGAUUUUAGGUGGGUGAAAGGAUCACUGCCAUCCUCAGUAGCAGCCAGAGAAGCAUCGGCAUCGACAUCCUAGUAUAAGAUAUAGCAAUCUAGUUAAAUGGAAGAGAGGUGAUGCAUACAUCAAACAAUAUUUUCAGCAAUGAAUGCAUAAUUUAAAAUAUAUAUAUAUAAGUUCCAGAUUAUUUAGUUCUUAUGAUGCACUUGUCAUUCUGUUACUAAUAUUUUCAGCAAUCCAUGUGAACCAUUGCUCAGUUCUUUGGCAAACCACAACAUUGUAAUGCGGUGUGAUCAAAUUAUAUUUUGGCAUCACUAUUUUUUCUUUCUAAUCCAUGCGAACAUUGCCAUCAGUUGUGUUUGUAAAUGACUGGUAUUCCUCUGAACUAAAUAAAUGUGUCAAUAAGAAAAAAUAAAUAAGCAAUAAUCCAUUUUUGGGGUAAUAUAGGGAGUUGUUGAUAUAGGAAACUACAAACAGAAAAACGGCUUCAUCAGGACAAUAUGUAUUAAACCUUCAAACGGUGAGCAAUUUAUGAGAGCAUAUCUCCCUCUGAUUUAUGAAAUUAUUCUUUCUUAUAAUUAGGGCAUCUGUCCAAUAAUUUCUCUCCAGCCGGUGUACAGUAACUAUGGGGCGAAAUUUCUACAUACUAAAGGUUUUGUAUGCCCUAAACCUGACAUGAUGCUUGCUCCAAUAUGCCAUCUCUACCUGGAUGAUACAAUAAAUAUGUGCUUGUGAGUAUAAUAAAUUGCCUACUCAUCAAGCCAGUGUAAGGUAGGUUGGAUUGUAGGCUGAGAAGUACCAAACCGAGGAAGACCAGAGUUGGGCAAGGCUAAAGAUUGAGGAAUACCAUGAGGAUGUAGCAUAUAAGAAUGCAUCCGAUCCAUCUGCCCAGGAGAAACAAAACCAUUAGUCCUAAUAGUGAUGGAACAAUAGGUACAACAUUAGCAUUAUUUCCCUCAAGAAAUAUAACCAAAGCGCGCUUGGGAAUUAUUCAUAAGGAAUAAAAUAGAACAAUCAACACAACCAAUAUGAUAAUCUAAGCAUAAAAGGACCAUAUAUAUGAGUUGCAUUCCUCUAUGUAACACUACAAACUCAGAAUGCAGCAAACAAUCUGAUGAUCAUAAUAGCAUAUGUGCAAUUUAAGGCUUUC
This 10647-nucleotide long non-coding RNA is filed under the name Triticum aestivum (bread wheat). Its description in RNAcentral is "long non-coding RNA (TAES_LNC004296)". The record is from RNAcentral. Lineage: Eukaryota; Viridiplantae; Streptophyta; Magnoliopsida; Poales; Poaceae.